CAAGCGUUAGGACAAGAGUAAAGUUGUGCAAAGUCUCCUGGAGUACAAAGGUCUGGUACAAAGGUCAAUCUGUGAAUCAUGUGAUCAAAGUGCAAGGCUGAAUUAACAACAAACCAUUGUCAAAUCUCUUCCCAUGCAUGUGCGGGAAAAUAGACCAAUCAGGUUUCACCUCUUCGUCUGAAUAGUUUCCUGCUUGGAUCAGUAAGCCUCAUUGUGUCACUUGCAAGCAAAAUUGUAUGACCUCUGCGGCAAAGUACUUCGAAAUUAUACUUUUGGAAAAGAUAUAUCGUGGAUAUAAAACAACGGUCAGUAACACAGUAUUAUUCAGUGAUACGCAGUUUAUACAAAUAUAGCUCUGCUGCGGGCAAGCACUUUUACUCUUCUGGUGGACAAAGGAAUACGUUGGCUCAAGUAUUGACGUAUAUGAAACUCAGUGAGACGCAGUUUAUCAGUAAAAUAUAACUCUGCCGCGGGCAACCGUUUUUACUCUUUUGGUGGACAAAGGAAUACCUUGGCUGAUGUAUUGAUGUGUGAUUCAGAGAGACGAUGUUUAUUCAAAUAUAACUGGGCAGGCGCUUUUACUCUUCUGGUGGACAAAGGAAUACGUUGGCUCAAGUAUCGAUGUGUGAUUCAGUGAGACGCAGUCUAUUCAAGUAUAACUCUACCGUGGUCAAGCGCUUUUACCCUCCUGGUGGACAAAGGAAUACGUUGGCUCAACCGAUGAAGUUAAAUGAAACCGCCGCUGGGGGAAUUAUAACAAGAUCGAGAGGCUAGACACAAAUUCAACAAGCGUCAUUUGAUAUCAUUCGUAUAUCAAUGUAUUUAUGUAUGCACAUGCAUUUGGUGCGUAAGUAUGCGGUGAAUUCACACGUUUGCUUCGUAUUUCGCUUUUCAAACCAAUCAAAAUGCUUUAACUUCAUUUAUUUUAUCACAGAAUUCGGGUAUAGUAAUUGUCGAACGCCAAAUGUAUCGACCAUUCAGGCAUUCACGGUAAAUCGAUCUGUAUUUCAAUGUCAAUUUUAUUACCAUCUUGAGGUUAUUAACCGGCCAGUUGGGCCUCUGAUUCGGGAAUUGGGUUUCAAUAAAGUGUCACAUUAAACUGUAUUCAAUCAUUCAAAAGUAGAUUAUAUAAAACUUCCUUUCUAGCUAUUUCAAGGCACUCUUUAAUAAAACAAACACUUAAUUAUUUGGCCCGUAUACAUUAUCAAUACUUUACUGGGCACAACAUAGGAAAUCAAGUUCAUGUGUGAGAGAAAUUUUAGUCUGCUCGCAUAUCCUUCCACCACGGGGGGGAUUAGGGACAGUCUGUGCACAGACUAGAGAAAUUUAGGAUCUACUUUAUCUACAUUUGUGAUAAAUCGACAAGUUGGAUGUCAUGAAAGAUUGAUAUAUACGUACAGUGUAUGGUAUGUCGCUACUCAUGAAAAUUCAUUUUAGUGUCUUAUCACUAUACUGCAUGAUCUUUAGUCUACCAAAUACAUAUUCUUACAAUUUCUGCUAGUCUCAUGCAUGCAUGAUUGCAUGUUCAAUCACAAAACUGUGGUUUAAUAUAAACACCUGAAUUGCAUUUUGAAUUUUUGAUCCUGCUAUUUUAAAAUAUUGAACAAGCUAUUUUUCUGAGAUUAAAGAGUCACAUACAUAAUUCGAGAAUUAUAUUGUGUCAAGUUCCACCAAUCAUAAUUCAAAUAAAAUAAGUGGAGUUAACAAAUACAUGUUGCAAAAUUGUCAACGAGCACAUUGACAUUAAAAAUAAAUAAAUCGUAAAAAAAAAAAAAAAAUGAUGGUGAGAAAUAAAAAAUAACUCAACAUACUUAAAAUAUCAGUAGAAUGACAAAAUUCACAUUGCAAAAAAUAACAAAAAUAUAAAACCCAUGCUUUUCCGGCUCUCUAACUAUGUGUAUGUAUAUAAUAUUGCAAAUGCAUGAUCAUAUCUUACCUUCGUAAUAACAGUAGUAAAUUUUAGGAAGACCUUUAACCUUAUUUGUAAAGACAUGACUUUGGAUAAAGUCAUCAUAAUUGUUAUCGUUUUCUGUAUCAUAAAUGAUGUAUUCUAGAGUGCUUUUUGCUUCCUUCACUCUUUGGCAGUUUUGAGAAUUGUGUGGUAAUAGAUAAAAUGGUUUAUCCAAAGGCAGCUCAAUGGAAUCUCUCCAAAGUCCUUGAUCCUGGCAACAAUAUUCAAUAAUGGUGUCUUCAUCAAAAGUACCACUAGGUAAGGUACCACCUUUACUGUUUUUAUUUGUGUCAUCUUCGUCAUCCCACUCUAUAGAGCCACUUUUCAUACCAGAGGGACAUUGGUUCUUUUUAUAGAUACAAUACGACCCUAAAAACAGAUACAAUAUUACAGUAAAAUGUCUAAAAGAAUAUACUUGAUCAUGUCAUGAUGUGCAGCCCUCCACUACGCACAUGCAGUAUAUAUGGUCAUUGUAAUAAGAUAGGUAGCUAUUACAAGCUUAGAUAGCCCAAACAAAGC
Molecule: long non-coding RNA, 2470 nt
Filed under: Paramuricea clavata
Lineage: Eukaryota; Metazoa; Cnidaria; Anthozoa; Malacalcyonacea; Plexauridae
Source: RNAcentral